This 72-nucleotide transfer RNA is filed under the name Ictidomys tridecemlineatus (thirteen-lined ground squirrel). Its description in RNAcentral is "Spermophilus tridecemlineatus (thirteen-lined ground squirrel) tRNA". It matches the Rfam family "tRNA". Rfam says of the family: Transfer RNA (tRNA) molecules are approximately 80 nucleotides in length. Their secondary structure includes four short double-helical elements and three loops (D, anti-codon, and T loops). Further hydrogen bonds mediate the characteristic L-shaped molecular structure. tRNAs have two regions of fundamental functional importance: the anti-codon, which is responsible for specific mRNA codon recognition, and the 3' end, to which the tRNAs corresponding amino acid is attached (by aminoacyl-tRNA synthetases). tRNAs cope with the degeneracy of the genetic code in two manners: having more than one tRNA (with a specific anti-codon) for a particular amino acid; and 'wobble' base-pairing, i.e. permitting non-standard base-pairing at the 3rd anti-codon position. Lineage: Eukaryota; Metazoa; Chordata; Mammalia; Rodentia; Sciuridae. The record is from Rfam by way of RNAcentral.
GGGAAUACAGCUUAGUGGUAGAGUGCUUGCCUUACAUGCACAAAGCCCUGGGUUCAAUCCCCAAUAUUGCAA